UGCUGGGCCUGCUCCCUGAUGCUUCCCGGCUUUGGGGCGGCCCUGGUGCUGUAGGUGACACCAGGGUUGGUCGGCGAGGACACUGGCGCGACAGCCAGAGCAUCUGCCAGCGAGCCUUGUGAUUUCGCACAAAGGCAGCUUGCUACGCGCGUUGCAGUUGCAAGGAAGUGGAUCUCUCUGCCAAACUGCAUAGGCAAGCCUGCAGGGAAGGAACUUGACAUGAGGAAUUCCCUCACUCCAACUAAGGUGCCCUGUUAAUGGGACUUACUGAAUGACCUCUCCCAGCUCAUCAAAACUCCGGGGAACAAACACACCAGCUUCCUUCAAGGCUUGGUUCUUUGCAACAGCA
This is a long non-coding RNA of Harpia harpyja (harpy eagle), 349 nucleotides long. RefSeq lists it as uncharacterized. Lineage: Eukaryota; Metazoa; Chordata; Aves; Accipitriformes; Accipitridae. The record is from RefSeq and is a predicted model, not a curated record. The transcript is spliced from 3 exons.